ACGAAAUGACACAGAAAACUAUACUUUGGGUUCCAUUGGAUGCUUUUAUGCCCAUGUUUUCCUCAGAGAAGAGAAGCCUUUCCUCUGGAAUAGGAAUCCGUGUUUUCCUCAGUUCUAAACUGGUGUAGAGUAGUGGUAAACUGGUGAGCGUGCCCACUGUCACACAGUCCGGCCAUCACUCAACUGCUGAUCUCCCAGGCUCCGGGCCUCCUUUCCUCGCAAAUCGCAUCAACUCCCAAAGCGCUCCACGAUCGGUCGGUCGGGCAGAGGCAGCUCGUCGGCCUGUUGAAAGAAAGUUGGGAUAGAAAUCGUUUCAGUCGUAGUAUUGUAUCUUCUGUUGUUGUAAUCUAAUCCUACGAUAGAUUGCAACAAACGAACCUAGAAUGUCUCAUCGGCAAUUGCCACACUAGCGGUUGUUGCUAGCUAUAUAGAGCAAGGGGCGGCCUCUACAGAGAUUCAACGCUUCCAGAACACAUCUGCCUUUACACAGCCAGAGCCCCGCGUCCAGUUCCCUCCCCCGUUUCCCGUGCACAAGAUGCAGCCAGGCGGCGCCCAGCCCGUCUCCCAGGCAGACGCGGUCGACAUCCCCGGCCGCCCGGACUACGUCGACUCGUACGUGCAGGGAAACCGCCCCAUCCCCGCGACGGCGGUCUACGCGGUCACCCCGGAACACGAGCGCAGCACCACCCGGCGGGAGACCGCCGUGGUGUACAUGCCCGCGGCGCCCCCGGAGAUGAUGUACUUCGCCCGGUGCAUCGCCCACGCCUACAUCACCCCGGCGGACGCGCCGUGCAAGGCGCACCCGGCGCCCUUCAUCCGCGCGGUCAUCGGCGCCGUGCUCCCGGCCCUGCUGUACGAGCUCCACCCGCCCGGCCACGGCGCCGACAGGAAGGUGCGGUUCCGGUGCCCCGAGGACCGGGAGGCCGCCAUGGCGCGGCAGCCGUUCGCGCUGGACGGCGCCACCGUCAAGCUUGUGCGCGAGGGGGAGAGCAGCAACGUCCGGCGCAUCCGGCUGGAGACCCUCGCCCACGUCGCGCUGCACGGCUACCCCAGGGAGCAGCGGAGCGUGGAGGAGAUCCGCGGUAACUGCAACAGCUUCGGGCACCUGAUCGAGGUCGACCCGGCCUGCUUCGCCGCGCCCGACCUGUCCCCGGUCCGCGCCGUCAUCCGACUCCAGCACGCCCGGGAGAUCCCGCGCGAGGUCCGGAUCAGGUGGGGCGGCUGGUGGCUCCACGUCGUGCCGGUACAGAUCCUCAGGGUCUGGGACUGGUCCGAGUCCCUCGACGCCAACGGAGAGUACGUGCCCAUCUACGGCCCCGCCGCGGUGGUGCCUCCCUAGCCUGCCGGUCUCAUGUUCGUCUGGGUCUCAACCAGGAGGCUAGCUUGUGGUGUGUUGUGGCUGCGAUGACAGCAAGUGGUUGAUUCAGUAGCCGAGUUUUAGGGGGGCGUUUGGAUACCAGGGCUAAAUUUUAGUCCUCACAUUGGAUGUUCGGAUAUUAGGAGGACUAAACAUAAGCUAAUUACAAAACUAACUACAGAACUCCUAGGCUAAAUCGCGAGAGGAAUCUAUUAAAUCUAAUUAAUCCAGCUAAUGAAUGGUUACUGUAGCACCACAUUGUCAAAUCAUGGACUAAUUAGGCUUAAUAGAUGCGUCUCGCGAUUUAGCAUAGAGGUUAUGUAAUUAGUUUUGUAAUUAGUCUAGGUUUAAUACUCCUAAUUAGUAUCCAAACAUUCGAUGUGACGGGGACUAAAAUUUAAUCCCCUCCUCCCAAACACCCCCUUAGCUAGAUAAUCGCCCUGUUAGUUUCGCCUAAUCGCCUUAGCGACUAGCAUGCGUUAGUAAUGUCGCUGGUACAAGUAUAGCGGCUGAUGCAGCUUUACUGAAUAGCUUGCAUUGUGUGCUGUCUCGGUUGUGCAUUUGGUGAUGCUCUUAAAGCAUAACUUCUUGUUCUUGUCUGAGAGUUAGGAUGGAGGCUACUUUUGUAAUCAUCUUUCUGGUGUCGAAUGAAAUGGUGGUGUGCUACCAUGAAACAUCUGUUGGCUUGUAAAACUGAUUUGUUCAAGAACUUGCCUGUUGCACUGUUGAACUGGCAUGAACACGUACAGGCGUGCUUGUUGCACGAGCAGCCAUCGAUCCAUUACAUGAGGUCGGUGAAUCAGUGGUCUUUUUAAAAAAACCAAGUCUUUUAAUCCUGAAAAUUAUCAGCUGAUCGAACGGCGGCCGCUUCAAUAGUCCCGUCCCAUUUUACCCUUGAUCAUGCUUACGUCGCAACUCGCAAGGGUUGAGGGAGCUGCCAUGCCCAGUCGGACGUGACUCCCCUCACGUACCGCGUACUCUUCUGAUUCCCUGAUACGAUUGCACGCCGAUUCGGCCAUGCCCUGUUGCACACCGAUUCGAUCAGGCGCCCAUUGCCCUGUUGCGUGUUGCACGUCAACUGCCACUCUGCUAGCCCGUCGCCCCGUCUCGUGUAUAGGGGUAGCAUGCUGUCGCAUUCGAACUCCAAGAGUCUUAAAAAAACUCCUCCAAAACUAUUUAUUAGGAGGUUUUCUACUAAAAAUUUUUUCUUCCAAAAUUAUGUUAUCCCACAAUACAUCCCUAAUAAUAAACUCCUCGAUACUUCAAAACUGACCCCGCCAGUCACGUGGACCUGAAAGUCAGCAGUCAAGGUAGGAGCUCUCAGCUACGAGGUGAUGCCGACCACCUCGGCAAGCACAGUAGCCUCUCCGCCGACGACACGGCCGCCUCCCGUGCGCGCCGCAGGAUCUCGCCGCGCGCUUCUCCCGCGAGCUCAGCUCCUCGCCCACCUGGAGCUGGAGAAGCAGACCGUCGCUCUUCCCGGGCGAUUUGUCAUGUGCGAUGCAGCAGACAGGGUGGGACGCUCUCGAGCGGUGCGUCGGGAGUGGGGACGAUGACAGCUCUGAGCGUGCGCAGCGGGGGCGACAGAACUCCGAGCAGCUCCGACGGAAAAGGGGCUCCGCGCGCCGUCCACCGUCCGUCGGAGGUCUGCGACGCAGUGGAGGGGUGGUCCCGAAUGGCGUGCCUCAACGGCAGGCUGCCAAAGCGACGGCAAUCGGUAGCGCGGGCGCACGCAGCCCUGCCGGAGGCGCGCGGCCGGGGUCGCGGCCACUACGGUCAGCGCAAUGUUGCCGCAUGGAAGAUGCCAACGCGCUCACCUGCCUCCAAGACGCGCGGCUCCAGUCGGACGGCGACUGGUCCGGCGCAGUCAAAGGCGCUCGAAAUAGGCCACCGGGACAAUGGCGCCGGGGCCUCCGCGUCGGGCUCGCGUCGUCCUUCCUGUCCGCCCCGUCCGCAUCGUCGAAGCCGAGGAUCUCGAUGGACGGUCUCUAGCGCGCCAUGUCCGACCUCGCACUGGAGCUUGCCAGGAACAGGAAGGCCGCCAACGCGCCAAGAAGCAGCUGCCGGCUAUCACAAUUCACGGAGGGGGUGGAGGUCGCAUGGUGCGAGUGCUGCGAGCAUAUGGAUUAUUAAUGCAGGAUUGUGCUUCCGAGCUCUGGUGAUUAUUUUUGUUUGGUCGGCCACUUCCAAGAUCUCCUCCGUAUUACUUAGAUGUCGAUUUUGCAAGUUGCUCACAAGUCACAAGGCUCACGCUAGCUAAGCCCACAUGCUUACCGUAUGCGCUUUUCACAAUCUUCUAUCGUAUGCACUUUUCAGUUUUCAUAGGCAGUCCGUCGAGCACAUAGAGUGCAUCUGCCAACGAGGCCAAGGCGACAGAACAUGCAAAUUGAACGCACCGCCCACACACAAAUGAGCAGUCGAAUAGCUGACGACAAAGAAGGAGGCGAGCCUUUCACGUCAAACAAGGAAGGGAAACGACAUUAAGGGUUGAACACUGGAGCAAAAAAGUGAGGAUUUCAUCGAGGAAGCUCACCGACGGUGAAGAAAACAGUCGCCGAAGUUCACCGAGGUUGAGGAAGGGGGAGGCGAGGAGGAGCUUUUGUGGUCCAUUUCUUGCUCCGAGUGGUAGAAUGGCGAGAGGAGAGAGAGCGCGAUCCGUUCUAUGCAUUCAAUUAAUGCUCAAGUUUGUGGAGGAUUAGCUCAAGACGGUGGUGUGGUUCACGCUCCACGCGGAGACGAUGACCGGGGAGGACGGGAGAGAA
RNAcentral lists this long non-coding RNA (4119 nucleotides) under Setaria italica (foxtail millet). RNAcentral describes it as "long non-coding RNA (SITA_LNC006557)". The record is from RNAcentral. Lineage: Eukaryota; Viridiplantae; Streptophyta; Magnoliopsida; Poales; Poaceae.